Molecule: transfer RNA, 77 nt
Filed under: Opitutaceae bacterium
Lineage: Bacteria; Pseudomonadati; Verrucomicrobiota; Opitutia; Opitutales; Opitutaceae
Also listed under: 1 other name
Description: tRNA-Arg
Rfam family: tRNA
About the family: Transfer RNA (tRNA) molecules are approximately 80 nucleotides in length. Their secondary structure includes four short double-helical elements and three loops (D, anti-codon, and T loops).
Source: RNAcentral
GCACUGUUAGCUCAAUUGGAUAGAGCGCCUGGCUACGGACUAGGAGGUUGGGGGUUCGACUCCCUCACAGUGUACCA